UGGGGGCUCGUCUAACGGCAGGACAGCGGACUCUGACUCCGCCGGUAGAGGUUCGAAUCCUCUGCCCCCAGCCA
RNAcentral lists this transfer RNA (74 nucleotides) under Gammaproteobacteria bacterium. RNAcentral describes it as "tRNA-Gln". It matches the Rfam family "tRNA". From Rfam's summary of the family: Transfer RNA (tRNA) molecules are approximately 80 nucleotides in length. Their secondary structure includes four short double-helical elements and three loops (D, anti-codon, and T loops). The record is from RNAcentral. Lineage: Bacteria; Pseudomonadati; Pseudomonadota; Gammaproteobacteria.